This 497-nucleotide ribosomal RNA is filed under the name uncultured bacterium. RNAcentral describes it as "partial 16S ribosomal RNA". It matches the Rfam family "Bacterial small subunit ribosomal RNA", at positions 28 to 507 of the family's 1533-position model. The record is from RNAcentral.
GAUGAACGCUGGCGGCGUGCCUAAUACAUGCAAGUCGAGCGAACAGACGAGGAGCUUGCUCCUCUGACGUUAGCGGCGGACGGGUGAGUAACACGUGGAUAACCUACCUAUAAGACUGGGAUAACUUCGGGAAACCGGAGCUAAUACCGGAUAAUAUAUUGAACCGCAUGGUUCAAUAGUGAAAGACGGUUUUGCUGUCACUUAUAGAUGGAUCCGCGCCGCAUUAGCUAGUUGGUAAGGUAACGGCUUACCAAGGCAACGAUGCGUAGCCGACCUGAGAGGGUGAUCGGCCACACUGGAGCUGAGACACGGUCCAGACUCCUACGGGAGGCCGCAGUAGGGAAUCUUCCGCAAUGGGCGAAAGCCUGACGGAGCAACGCCGCGUGAGUGAUGACGGUCUUCGGAUCGUAAAACUCUGUUAUUAGGGAAGAACAAAUGUGUAAGUAACUAUGCACGUCUUGACGGUACCUAAUCAGAAAGCCACGGCUAACUACGUG